This 478-nucleotide ribosomal RNA is filed under the name uncultured bacterium. RNAcentral's name for it is "partial 16S ribosomal RNA". It matches the Rfam family "Bacterial small subunit ribosomal RNA", at positions 28 to 523 of the family's 1533-position model. The record is from RNAcentral.
GACGAACGCUGGCGGCGUGCUUAACACAUGCAAGUCGAACGGUAAGGCCCUUCGGGGUACACGAGUGGCGAACGGGUGAGUAACACGUGGGUGAUCUGCCCUGCACUUCGGGAUAAGCCUGGGAAACUGGGUCUAAUACCGGAUAGGACUCCGGACUGCAUGGUCUGGGGUGGAAAGCUUUUGCGGUGUGGGAUGGGCCCGCGGCCUAUCAGCGUGUUGGUGGGGUGAUGGCCUACCAAGGCGACGACGGGUAGCCGGCCUGAGAGGGUGACCGGGCACACUGGGACUGAGAUACGGCCCAGACUCCUACGGGAGGCAGCAGUGGGGAAUAUUGCCCAAUGGGCGCAAGCCUGAUGCAGCGACGCCGCGUGAGGGAUGACGGCCUUCGGGUUGUAAACCUCUUUCAGCAUCGACGAAGCGAAAGUGACGGUAGGUGCAGAAGAAGGACCGGCCAACUACGUGCCAGCCGCCGCCGUAA